CUUAGAGGGAAAAAAAGAAGCAUUGAAAGCUCUAUCAGGCUGCCACCGCUGAGGUUUUUGUGGGAAACACAGGAAGAGUGAAAACGGCCACUCAGAACUCAACAGUUCUAAAGAAAAGCAGCGACCUGAAGGCCGAAAGGGCACAAAACACGGCGCGGCUGUGGUGCCAAUCAGGGGACGGCAGUGCAGCUCCCUGCCGCGGAGACAUCCCGCCUUCCUGCUGCAGAGCCCCUCUGUGGAGCUCCGGAUGAGCCGCUCCGGCCCGGCCCAGCACAACGUUAGCCUGAGAGGAUGUCAGGUGUUUUUUUCCCCACUUCCUCCGCGGAACAACACACUGCAAAAGGAUAAAGGCUGAUCCAGUAUAGCAACCUUUCUGAGACCCGCCUUAAGGCUAAGAUGAACAUUCAGGAGAUGGAGAAACCUGAAUGUGGAGGCUUCAGAACUUCCCCCCAGAGGACAAGGAAUUAAAGGAACUUCGUCUUGUGAACCAAAGUCACGUGUCGGCUGUUAUCAGGUUAUGGUCUCACAUCCACUUGAGUAGCAGUAACUGAAUAAUUGAAUGUUCCCCUUGAACCAAAUAGUUUGCUCCUGGAAUUACAGAUACUCCCUUCAAUGGCACCUUAAUGGUUACACAGGGCACUGAGGAAGGCUCAAACCUUCAUAACUACAGUACAGCUCCCUCCAUCCAGGUACACUGGGCGUUUGGCAUUCAUACGAAGUUUCUUUGGCAGG
Molecule: long non-coding RNA, 732 nt
Filed under: Gallus gallus (chicken)
Lineage: Eukaryota; Metazoa; Chordata; Aves; Galliformes; Phasianidae
Description: lncRNA (ENSGALG00010011489.1)
Source: RNAcentral